GGCCUGUUAGCUCAGCUGGUUAGAGCGUGGUGCUAAUAACGCCAAGGUCGUGGAUUCGAUCCCCACAUGGGCCA
RNAcentral lists this transfer RNA (74 nucleotides) under Danionella translucida. It matches the Rfam family "tRNA". Rfam says of the family: Transfer RNA (tRNA) molecules are approximately 80 nucleotides in length. Their secondary structure includes four short double-helical elements and three loops (D, anti-codon, and T loops). Further hydrogen bonds mediate the characteristic L-shaped molecular structure. tRNAs have two regions of fundamental functional importance: the anti-codon, which is responsible for specific mRNA codon recognition, and the 3' end, to which the tRNAs corresponding amino acid is attached (by aminoacyl-tRNA synthetases). tRNAs cope with the degeneracy of the genetic code in two manners: having more than one tRNA (with a specific anti-codon) for a particular amino acid; and 'wobble' base-pairing, i.e. permitting non-standard base-pairing at the 3rd anti-codon position. RNAcentral also lists the same sequence under 1 other name. The record is from Rfam by way of RNAcentral. Lineage: Eukaryota; Metazoa; Chordata; Actinopteri; Cypriniformes; Danionidae.